GUUGUUAAAGAAGGACGUAUCUAAGAGUAACUGCUUAGGUAGUGWCGGUAUUUAACCAGAAAGCCACGGCUAACUACGUGCCAGCAGCCGCGGUAAUACGUAGGUGGCAAGCGUUAUCCGGAUUUAUUGGGCGUAAAGCGAGCGCAGGCGGUUUUUUAAGUYYGAYGUGAAAGCCUUCGGCUUAACCGAAGAAGUGCAUCGGAAACUGGGAGACUUGAGUGCAGAAGAGGACAGUGGAACUCCAUGUGUAGCGGUGAAAUGCGUAGAUAUAUGGAAGAACACCAGUGGCGAAGGCGGCUGUCUGGUCUGUAACUGACGCUGAGGCUCGAAAGCAUGGGUAGCGAACAGGAUUAGAUACCCUGGUAGUCCAUGCCGUAAACGAUGAAUGCUAAGUGUUGGAGGGUUUCCGCCCUUCAGUGCUGCAGCUAACGCAUUAAGCAUUCCGCCUG
Molecule: ribosomal RNA, 449 nt
Filed under: Paucilactobacillus vaccinostercus
Lineage: Bacteria; Bacillati; Bacillota; Bacilli; Lactobacillales; Lactobacillaceae
Description: bacterial SSU rRNA
Rfam family: Bacterial small subunit ribosomal RNA
Source: RNAcentral